UACGUAGGUCCCGAGCGUUAUCCGGAAUGAUUGGGCGUAAAGGGUGCGUAGGCGGCCUGCUAAGUCUGGAGUGAAAGGUACCGGCUCAACCGGUACAGGCUCUGGAAACUGGCGGGCUAGAGAGCAGGAGAGGGCGGUGGAACUCCAUGUGUAGCGGUAAAAUGCGUAGAUAUAUGGAAGAACACCAGUGGCGAAGGCGGCCGCCUGGCCUGUUGACUGACGCUGAGGCACGAAAGCGUGGGGAGCAAAUAGG
Molecule: ribosomal RNA, 253 nt
Filed under: uncultured bacterium
Lineage: Bacteria
Description: partial 16S ribosomal RNA
Rfam family: Bacterial small subunit ribosomal RNA
Source: RNAcentral